CGGGCGGGGCUGAGCCCUCCCGCGCCUCGGCCCGGAUCAUGGCGGCGAUGGGGAUGGGCCCUGGAGCAACGGGACGGGGUCAGAAAUCUCAUGCAACUGCAUCGGUGCCCUUGCAAAUCACCAACCCUGAUGUGAUUUGAUAAAACCAGACCAUAAUGGUGAUGGGACAAAAGAAGUGCUGGUGUUUCAGGAAUAAGAGGACCCACCUCUAAGCAUGCCACAUUUCCUGUUCUGUAGGAAAAAAAACCACAAGAAAAAUACAACUGCAGGCUCUCAGGGUGGGAUACCAUGCAGCAAGCAGAAGAUCAUUACCACCAGCACAUCUUUUCUUAGCAUCAAACUGGGCUAAUCGACCUGUGUGGUAAAGAACAUGCUUCCACAGAAAUGAGUAUUUGUUCUGCUUUGCUUUGUUUUUAAUAAAAAUAAAAUAACAAUUUA
This is a long non-coding RNA of Pezoporus flaviventris, 438 nucleotides long. RefSeq lists it as uncharacterized. Lineage: Eukaryota; Metazoa; Chordata; Aves; Psittaciformes; Psittacidae. The transcript is spliced from 3 exons. The record is from RefSeq and is a predicted model, not a curated record.